AUCCAGCUGACGAGUCCCAAAUAAGACGAAAUAUGCGUCCUGAAU
Non-coding RNA from Schistosoma mansoni, 45 nucleotides. The record is from Rfam. NCBI's taxonomy places the organism in Eukaryota, Metazoa, Platyhelminthes, Trematoda, Strigeidida, Schistosomatidae.